Long non-coding RNA from Thalassophryne amazonica, 755 nucleotides. RefSeq lists it as uncharacterized. The transcript has 3 exons. The record is from RefSeq and is a predicted model, not a curated record. NCBI's taxonomy places the organism in Eukaryota, Metazoa, Chordata, Actinopteri, Batrachoidiformes, Batrachoididae.
UUUUUUGCUACCGGUGUCUUUGUGCUCCAGUGAGAUGUUUUAAGUUCUAUCAGAUGGUUCUCUUGCCGUCAUGAGCUUUUUAGCAGCUUUAUAUCGUCCUCGUCACUAGUUCACUGAUCAACCUGCACAUGGUCGACUCUUCCCCCUCCCUCACACACCAUGAUUGAUGCCGGUGACGUACUCUCACUAAAACAGUGGAGCAGCUGAAAGUGACGUCCAAAUGUGCGCACAUUGCACAAACCCAGCUGUUACACAAAAGAUGAGGAAAAAUUCAAGCAGCAAUAUGAUAUCUGAUAUACAUCACUGGGAAAUUAAUGACAAAUGCUGUAAUAGUUCAGGCUUUUGAACAGAUCAUAUAUCCUGAUAAAAAAAAAAGUGACUAUUUGUAAUACACUGCCUUUUUAUUGAAGUUAAAAAAUAUCUCUAUCAGAAUGAAAAACAGUUUGUCAAGCAUGAAUAGUAUGGAAAACAUAAUGAAUAAAUAAAUACAUUGUGUAAUAUUUAGUUAGUACUAUAGUAAUACUGGGCCUCAUUCACUAGUACGUGCACAGAAAUGUCAUUACUCUAAGAAGUAUGUGUGCGCAGAAUCACCGCCGGAUUCAUCACAGCAAAUUUGGUUCUCACCAGUGUUUUUAUGUUUGUGAAUAGAGUAAUUCUAAACUGACAAGCACGUGCAUGUGGGCUGCAGUCUACAUACAGCCACGCCUCCAUUUCACAAUACAAGAACAUCGGUUUGGUUUCACCAUGAGAUCGCU